Molecule: non-coding RNA, 29 nt
Filed under: Mus musculus (house mouse)
Lineage: Eukaryota; Metazoa; Chordata; Mammalia; Rodentia; Muridae
Source: RNAcentral
UGGUAUCGUGCCUAAUUCCCAAGCGUCCA